This 305-nucleotide ribosomal RNA is filed under the name uncultured bacterium. RNAcentral's name for it is "partial 16S ribosomal RNA". It matches the Rfam family "Bacterial small subunit ribosomal RNA", at positions 333 to 654 of the family's 1533-position model. The record is from RNAcentral.
ACAGCCCUACGGGGGGCAGCAGUGGGGGAUAUUGCACAAUGGGGGAAACCCUGAUGCAGCGACGCCGCGUGAGUGAAGAAGUAUUUCGGUAUGUAAAGCUCUAUCAGCAGGGAAGAAAAAAGACGGUACCUGACUAAGAAGCCCCGGCUAACUACGUGCCAGCAGCCGCGGUAAUACGUAGGGGGCAAGCGUUAUCCGGAUUUACUGGGUGUAAAGGGAGCGUAGACGGCCAGACAAGUCAGAAGUGAAAGCCCAGGGCUCAACCCCGGGACUGCUUUGGAAACUGCCAUGCUAGAGUGCCGGAG